GGCGUGCUGACCUAUCCCACUAUCGGACAGCGUACGUUUACAAAGGGGAGAAGGAACGAAACGAAUCAUCGACGCGAUGAUUUCUCAUCGGCUAAAUUCAAACAACAUCGGAUCCAGCGCGUCUUUAAGGCGCUCAGUCGAUCCAUCGGCAAUUUUUCACGCGAUUCCAAUCCACGAGGGAAGCGCGUCUGGCUGACGACGCGGAGGCGGCCCAUGCGAGCCGGCCCGCACAAAGGCGCAUCCUCGCGAGGAAAUUUAUCGCGACGGGACGACGUUUCCCGUGAAAAGCGUCGAAGAAAGAAGAUAGAAAGGAGGCGAGGAGCGCGGAGAACGCAGCAAUCUGGUGAAUAGGCGCGCCUUCCAGAAGCGUCGCGAAUCAAUUCCCGGAUUGACUCUGCACCAGGUUGCCGCGCCGAUUUUUCAGCUUUCUCCAGGCGGAAAACUCGCACGUCUCGUAUCCAUGGCAUAUUUGCCUGGUUACUGAAUGGAAAAUGGAUCGACAAGAAUGCAAUAUCGGAACUCGCGAACAAUCGUUCGAUGUCAGGUCAAUGUGGACAUUCCUGACCGAAAUACAGAAACAAAAAAUCAACGAAUCGAAUGAAGCGUCGUAGGAGAAGCGUGCGAUUCUUCGUGUCUGACCAUGACCUGGAAAAAUCUACUUGCUUCAGUUCCG
Molecule: unclassified non-coding RNA, 673 nt
Filed under: Bombus terrestris (buff-tailed bumblebee)
Lineage: Eukaryota; Metazoa; Arthropoda; Insecta; Hymenoptera; Apidae
Description: misc RNA ENSBTSG00005035390.1
Source: RNAcentral